This 200-nucleotide unclassified non-coding RNA is filed under the name Hevea brasiliensis (rubber tree). The record is from RNAcentral. Lineage: Eukaryota; Viridiplantae; Streptophyta; Magnoliopsida; Malpighiales; Euphorbiaceae.
UGGGAAAUAGGAGCUUCAUUAGAUUUUGAAUUAGCUGAGACAGCAGGUAUUGGAAAAGAUGUUGAUCUAAUGGUCAACACACAAGGACUAGUGCCAGUGUAUCGCACAGUGCAAAGUGCAUUUCCAGCAUAAAUUGGUCUGAUAAAUAGACUAGAACCAGAAAGAGCAAUGACAUCAGUAAUUGGAGAAACAUCUAAAAG